AAGUCGUAACAAGGUUUCCGUAGGUGAACCUGCGGAAGGAUCAUUAUUGAAUAAACCUGAUGUGACUGUUAGCUGGCUUUUCGAAGCAUGUGCUCGUCCGUCGUCUUUAAUCUCUCCACCUGUGCACAUUUUGUAGUCUUGGAUACCUCUCGAGGCAACUCGGAUUUUAGGAUCGCCGUGCUGCACAAGUCGGCUUUCCUUUCAUUUCCAAGACUAUGUUUUUAUAUACACCAAAGUAUGUUUAAAGAAUGUCAUCAAUAGGAACUUGUUUCCUAUAAAAUUAUACAACUUUCAGCAACGGAUCUCUUGGCUCUCGCAUCGAUGAAGAACGCAGCGAAAUGCGAUAAGUAAUGUGAAUUGCAGAAUUCAGUGAAUCAUCGAAUCUUUGAACGCACCUUGCGCUCCUUGGUAUUCCGAGGAGCAUGCCUGUUUGAGUGUCAUUAAAUUCUCAACCUUCCAGCUUUUUAUAAGCUUGGUUAGGCUUGGAUGUGGGGGUUGUGGGCUUCAUUAAUGAGGUCAGCUCUCCUUAAAUGCAUUAGCGGAACUUUUGUGGACCGUCUAUUGGUGUGAUAAUUAUCUACGCCGUGGAUGUGAAGCAGAUUUAUGAAGUUCAGCUUCUAACCGUCCAUUGACUUGGACAUUUUUGACAAUUUGACCUCAAAUCAGGUAGGACUACCCGCUGAACUUAAGCAUAUCAAUAAGCGGAGGAAAAGAAACUAACAAGGAUUCCCCUAGUAACUGCGAGUGAAGCGGGAAAAGCUCAAAUUUAAAAUCUGGCAGUCUUUGGCUGUCCGAGUUGUAAUCUAGAGAA
RNAcentral lists this unclassified non-coding RNA (811 nucleotides) under uncultured Laccaria. Its description in RNAcentral is "sequence contains ITS1, 5.8S rRNA gene and ITS2". The stretch from base 287 to 440 matches the Rfam family "5.8S ribosomal RNA". Lineage: Eukaryota; Fungi; Basidiomycota; Agaricomycetes; Agaricales; Tricholomataceae. The record is from RNAcentral.